CGACAGCGACCUCAGGUCAG
This 20-nucleotide ribosomal RNA is filed under the name Abeliophyllum distichum f. lilacinum. RNAcentral describes it as "partial 28S ribosomal RNA". Lineage: Eukaryota; Viridiplantae; Streptophyta; Magnoliopsida; Lamiales; Oleaceae. The record is from RNAcentral.